GCAGGUUUAUAAUUGAAUAAAAUUAUAUCCGAACUUCUUAACAAUCAAAGUGGAGAUGAUUCUAUUAUAAGCAGUGUAGAUGAACUCCAAAAGCAACUAAAUGAACAGUACACAAUCUUAGAGAUAAAUGCUCUUUGAAGCUGAUAAAAGUCGUGAAAUUCAGGUUAUGCUAGCUGAACAAAAUGCAAAAUUCAUUGGAGAAACUGCAUCACUUCCACAAAACAACGAUGACCAAAAAAAAAAUUUUUCUCAAAUCGAAAUUAGAUGAAAUGAAGGCUGAUAGACCGAGAGUCCCCAGCAAAUUUUGGGAGUGGAGAGGUAUAACCAAAAUGUGAGUAUGCAGUUUUAUAGCCUUAUGCCUUCUAUUCGAAAGUCUGGCACCUUUAUAUUACGGCUUUAUAUGGUUUUCGGGGGUUAAACAACGCGAGUUUUCCAAUUGAUGUGAGAAGGCUAAGGAAGCAAAAAUUCACAUUCUGAAUAUAAGGAAUGAUGCUCUCUGUCAUUUUCCCUAAGCCUCAAUACCUCAAUCUCGGUGAUACGAUGAAAUCAAGAUAAAAGUUUUUUUUUAACUAACCAUAUCAACUCUCUUCGUGGAGAGUUUUGAGUUCAAAAUAACAAACAAAAAAUUAAACAGAAAAUUCUCCAAAACAAAGCCUUAUAUCUUGAGUUCUAUUAAUCGCAUCGUCAAGAUUGAUGUCUUCAGGCUUAGGGAAAAUGACAGAGCCUCAGUUGCUCUAUUAAAGAAUAUAAAAUAGUGUGAAUUUAGCCUACUUAUAUGAAUUGGAAAACUCACAUUUUUCAACCCCCUGAAAACAAUACAAAGCCUUGAUUUUAAGCUGCCAUACUUUUGAAUUCGUUAUAAGAACGCAUAAGGCUAUAAAACUGCAUAAUCACAUUUUUGUUAUACCUCCACUACCAAAAUUUGCUGUGGGUGGGCUCUUAGACUAUGAGUUCGGUUUUGGACAUAGCGAAAUCCCUGGAAGGUAAAAUGCUGAAAUAAAACGUCUGCAGGCUGAUAUUAUGGGCCUUCGAACUAAGUGUGAUGAAGAGCAUAGAAAAUGCAAACCAGUUUGGCUAAGUUUGAGGCAUUGGAAUUUUUUUAAAAAACUAAAGAGAGAUUCUAAUAUUAAAGUAUCGCAAAUAUUAGAUGUUGCUUAUGUAUAAAAACAGAACUUUUAUGAAUU
This is a long non-coding RNA of Episyrphus balteatus (marmalade hoverfly), 1184 nucleotides long. RefSeq lists it as uncharacterized. The record is from RefSeq and is a predicted model, not a curated record. The transcript is spliced from 3 exons. Lineage: Eukaryota; Metazoa; Arthropoda; Insecta; Diptera; Syrphidae.